RNAcentral lists this small RNA (29 nucleotides) under Bombyx mori (domestic silkworm). Its description in RNAcentral is "ovarian small RNA-37636". Lineage: Eukaryota; Metazoa; Arthropoda; Insecta; Lepidoptera; Bombycidae. The record is from RNAcentral.
UUGAAGGUGAUAGUAAGGUCACGCUCCGC